GCCUAACACAUGCAAGUCGAGCGAACCUUCGGGUUAGCGGCGGACGGGUGAGUAACGCGUGGGAACGUACCCUCUUCUGCGGGAUAGCCACUGGAAACGGUGAGUAAUACCGCAUACGCCCUUUGGGGGAAAGAUUUAUCGGAGGAGGAUCGGCCCGCGUUGGAUUAGGUAGUUGGUGGGGUAAUGGCCUACCAAGCCUACGAUCCAUAGCUGGUUUUAGAGGAUGAUCAGCCACACUGGGACUGAGACACGGCCCAGACUCCUACGGGAGGCAGCAGUGG
RNAcentral lists this ribosomal RNA (281 nucleotides) under Ostreococcus sp. 'lucimarinus'. Its description in RNAcentral is "partial Bacterial small subunit ribosomal RNA". It matches the Rfam family "Bacterial small subunit ribosomal RNA", at positions 46 to 357 of the family's 1533-position model. Lineage: Eukaryota; Viridiplantae; Chlorophyta; Mamiellophyceae; Mamiellales; Bathycoccaceae. The record is from RNAcentral.